CAAUCAUGGACAUCAAACGAACGUUCAGGGUCUCUAGAGACGAUUGGCAAGGAGACCCAUGUGUUCCACAUAAAUAUUCAUGGAAUGGUUUAACUUGCAGUUCAGAUAAUACUCCAAGGAUCAUUACACUGAAUUUGAGUUCAAGCAACUUGACAGGGAAGAUAGUGACUUCAUUCUCCAACCUCACAGCACUGCAGUACUUGGAUUUAUCAUACAAUAGCUUGGAUGGGAGCGUACCAGAAUUUUUAGCUCAGCUACCAAAUUUGAAGACCCUUAAUUUAAAUGGUAACCAGCUGAAAGGUACAGUUCCAGAGGCUCUUAUACAGAAGUCCAGAAAUGGAUUAUUGGUCUUGGGUCUUGGCGAAAAUUCAGAUCUUUGUUACCCAGUUCCAUGUAAGAAGAAGGAGAAGAAGAAGAUAAAGGGGCUGAUUGUUUCACUUGCUGCUACGUCCCUAGUAGUCCUGGUCCUUCUUCUCAUUUUUUGUGCUCUGGCUAUCUACAAAAGGAAAAGACGAGAAUCCAACAUCAAAUUGAAGAAUAGCAAGAUGGCCGUGGAAUCCAACAUCAAACCGAAGAAUCAACAAUAUAGCUACUCUGAGGUUGUGAGAAUAACUGAUAACUUCAAUACCAUUAUUGGAGGAGGAGGAUUUGGAAAAGUUUACUUGGGAACUCUGGAAGAAACUCAAGUUGCUGUUAAGUUGCUUUCUCCAUCAUCGAACCAAGGCUAUAAGGAAUUUCGGGCAGAGGCAGAAAUCUUAGUGAGAGUUCAUCAUAGAAACUUGGUCUCUCUCGUCGGGUACUGUGAUGAGGGUGAAAACAAAGCGCUCAUCUAUGAGUACAUGGCUAAUGGCAACCUACACCAACAUUUAUCAGGUACCAAUAUGAAUGUCCUGAACUGGAAUCAGAGAAUUCAAAUUGCGGUGGAUAUAGCACAAGGGUUGGAGUAUCUGCAUAAUGGUUGCAAGCCAACUAUCGUUCACAGAGAUUUAAAGACUACCAAUAUCUUAUUAAAUGAAAAUAUGGAAGGAAAGAUAGCUGAUUUUGGGUUGUCAAGGACUUUCGCAGCAGAAAGUGAUUCUCAUGUGUCAACUCGUCCUGCUGGAACACUUGGAUACCUUGAUCCUGAGUUUUAUGCAUCUGGAAACUUUAACAAAAAAAGUGAUGUUUAUAGCUAUGGUAUUGUCCUCUUUGAGCUAAUUACAGGCCACCGAGCAAUAAUAAAAGGACCUGAAAAAAACACCCACAUACUUGACUGGGUUUAUCCUAUAAUUGAAAGUGGGGAUAUUCAAAACAUUAUUGAUGCAAGGUUACAUGGAGAAUUCCACAAAAAUUCUGCCUGGAAAGCUGUGGAGAUAGCCAUGUCAUGUGUACCACCUGUGGCAAUCCAAAGGCCGGACAUGAGUCAAGUAUUGGUAGAAAUAAAGGAAUGUUUGACUCUGGAGAUGGCUUAUGAAAGAGGCCAAAAUAAGACAACUUCAAACAGUCAACUUGUAGCGGCCUCUUUAGAGCUUGAAUCAGAUAUUGCUGCCCUUGCUAGGGAUUUAUCGUACAAUAACCUGACUGGAAACGUACCAGAAUUUUUAGCACAACUGCCAAAUUUGAAGAUCCUAGGGAAUAAUCUGAAAGGUUCGGUGCCAGAGGCUCUUAUACAGAAAUCUAGGGAUGGAUCAUUAGUCUUGAGUGGGUUGUCAUGCCUCUUAACCAGUUCAAACACCAGAGUUAAAUCCAAUAUCAAAUCAAAGAAUCGACAAUAUAGCUACCCCGAGGUUGUGGAAAUAACUAAUAGCUUUCAAACCAUUGUCGGAGAAGGAGGAUUUGGAAAAGUUUAUCUGGGCAUUCUAAAAGAUGAAACUAAGGUCGCUAUUAAGUUGCUGUCUCCAUCAUCAAAGCAAGGCUAUAAAGAAUUUCAAGCAGAGGUUAGAUACAUGAGUGUGAUCCAUUAAUUCAAAUUCACAACUCUCAUUGGGUACUGUGAUGAAGGUGAAUACAAGGCACUUAUUUAUGAGUACAUGGCUAAUGGAAACCUACAACAGCAUUUAUCAGUUACUAAUAUGAAUGUCUUGACUUGGAAUCAGAGGCUUCAUAUUGCAAUGGAUGCAGCACAUGGGUUGGAGUACCUACAUAAUGGUUGCAAGCCAACAAUAAUACAUAGAGAUUUAAAGACCUCCAACAUCUUAUUAAAUGAAAAGAUGCAAGCAAAGAUUGCUGAUUUUGGGUUGUCGAGGGCUUUUGCAACUGAAGAUGACACUCAUGUGUCAAGUCGUCCUGCUGGUACACUUGGAUAUCUUAAUCCUGAAUUUCAAAAAUCUGGAAAUUUUAACAAGAAAACUGAUAUUUAUAGCUACGGUAUUGUUCUAAUUGAGCUAAUCACUGGCCGCCCGGCAAUAAUAAGAGGAACUGAAGAAAACACACACAUAGUUGACUGGGUUCAUCCUAUGAUUGAAAGUGGAGAUAUUCGGAACAUUAUUGAUCCAAGGUUACAUGGACAAUUUGAUAUCAAUUCUGCCUGGAAAGCUGUGGAGAUAGCCAUGUCAUGCAUAGCACCAGGGACAAUCCAAAGGUCGGAUAUGAGUGAAGUAUGUGCAGAGUUAAAGGAAUGUUUGGCUCUAGAGAUGGCUCAUGGAAGAAGCCAAAGGAUGGUGACUGGGGGCAAUAAGACAAUUUCAAACAAUCAACUCAUAACGACCUCUUUAGAGCUUGAAUCAGAUAUUGCUGCCCUUGCUAGGUAG
Quercus lobata is the source of this 2729-nucleotide RNA transcript. It is a transcript of the gene named probable LRR receptor-like serine/threonine-protein kinase At1g51810, with no coding region annotated. The record is from RefSeq and is a predicted model, not a curated record. The transcript is spliced from 18 exons. NCBI's taxonomy places the organism in Eukaryota, Viridiplantae, Streptophyta, Magnoliopsida, Fagales, Fagaceae.